This is a long non-coding RNA of Capsicum annuum, 1699 nucleotides long. RefSeq lists it as uncharacterized. The transcript has 4 exons. NCBI's taxonomy places the organism in Eukaryota, Viridiplantae, Streptophyta, Magnoliopsida, Solanales, Solanaceae. The record is from RefSeq and is a predicted model, not a curated record.
UUGAUAAAUUUGAUCCUUCUUUUGUUCCAACCCUUUCCCAGGUGAAUGAUGCUCAAUGAAUUUGUCUUUAGCAUUUUCAAGAUACCAUUGAUUUGAUUUCAAUUGGUUUAAGAGUCUUGCUUUACCUAUUACUUAUGAUAGGAAAAAUUAACUUUCAUAAUGUCAUUUAGGACAAUAUAGAAAUAUGUAUUUAUUACUAUUAUCAUGUAUGAUCAAACUGAAUUUUUCAAAACCAAAUUAGCUAAGCUUGUCUAUUCCUAAGAUUUCCAUUACCAAAUUUUGAGUUCUGAAACAAAUGGUUUCCUCGUAAUCCAACUGUUGUUUGCUACCUCAUCUGAUUGGAAUUUUCUUAAAUGUUCAAUUGGUCAAGGUUGGUGGUAGUUUUUAGAGCAAAAAGGUGCUGAACCUGAUCCAAGGAAUAUCUUUCCUGCUUAGCCAAGAUCAUACUAUUAUUCUCUUCCAGUUUCAAUAGAUACAUCUGAAUUUGGCAUAAUGUUCUCAGCUAUCCUAUCCAUCAUCUAGUUGAAGCAUGAUUGGGCUCGUAUAGCAAAAUCUAACUAUCAUCAUUUCCAUAUUUUUCUAAGUGAACUCUCUAACCUUAUCAUGUGAAUCGUUUUAACCAAAUACUAGCAAAGCAGUUAUUUGUCUAUUUUUUCUGGUUAAUAUUUUCAAUUAGAAAUUUUAGCAAAUAGGAAAUGAUAAAAUACUUCUGAAGUUAUGUAAUAUGUACCAAAAUUAGUACAACAACAACAUACUUAGAAUGUGCAUUCCUUACCUCUACCUCAAAGGUAGAGAGGCUAUUCCGAUAGACCUUCAGUUAAGGAAAAACAAUCCAAAUCACCCCCAAAAAGAAACUAUAGGAGUGCAAGAAGCAUACCAAAAUUAGCAUUGUUAGAGUUUGUGUACGAUCGUCAUCUUCAUGUUUAUCAUGCUUUUCUUCUUCUUCCACCGCCCCUCUCUUUUUUCCUCUUUCAAGGUAUAUCAAUCACUUUCCUUAUUCCUCUAUUUUCGAUUGAGUAUGAUUGGGUUUUUUUCUUUUCAUUAGCUUUACCAUGUGCAGAUUUCAUGCUUCUUUGGACUUUAGUGAGGCGUAAUCCACCAUCCCACUUUGUUCAUAGAGAUUUACAACAUGACGGUUUUGAAGUCUUAUGUAGAAGCUGCUCUUCAAGUUGUACAUUCUGCCAUAUACCAUAAUGAACUGACUGAAAUGGAGGAACAUGAGCAAUAAAGAGAAAAGGAAUUGGGGAAGAAUCGUAGCACUGACCAUAGUGCUGAGAAUAAUGCUUCAUCUCAUAAAUGCAGAGCUAAAAAUGAUGCUGGUGCUGAACCAGCUCAUUAUAAAACUAGGGGAGUUGGUGGCUGUGAAGAAAUGGAAACUGAUGAUACUCCUAUAGCUGAAAUCAACAUAUCUCCAGAGAGAUUGCAAGCAUUCAGUGCAACACUUGGUAGGCACAAGAACUUACAACAUGUGGAACAAAUUUUAGUUGCCGAUGUGGAGAGUAUUGCCAAUAAUGGGGUGACUAUACCUUACUCAAAGGCAGAGAUAGAAAAAUUAUUUCCAGUAUGCUGGUUUCUGAUUACAAAUUUCUUCGAUUUUUGAGUUCCAAAUGAAUGUGUAGAUUGCCUUUUUUUUCACUAGUAAGCAAAACUGAAAUAUGUAUCACUUGGAUACCAUAGUUUUUUAAGGUUAAAUAGCUAA